ACAAAGCUGCUGACAUGGUCCCUCUUACACAGACCACAGACUUCAGUGGUACAGACAAGGUAAGGGAAGAAUGUGAUGGUUUCCAAAGGACUGUCUCCGUGGUCUGGUAACGUUGAAAGUUCUUAAUGGUCAGGAGCACACAUAACUCUUCAGAGUGAUAGAGCUUCAAAGAAAGUUCUAGAGGGGAUCAUUCAGCUGAGUUUCAGGACAGCUUCCUGCUCUCAUACACAUCACAUGUUUUUCACUUGAUAAUGUAUUAGGGAACUUCUAGGAUGUACCAACUUGUACUUUUCAAUUUGUUUUUACCUCAUUUACCUUUGUAAUGGUGGGAACUCUCCAUAUUUUUAUCUGGAGUCCUUAAGUCUCAGUGAUAAUGAAUUGACAACAUAUAGAGGCAUUUUUAAUUUCUUUAUGUGUCUUUUAUUAUCUGCUAAGUACUAAUUAUUUAGGCUAAGCUUACCUAAAUCAUUGUGGACUUGGUAAUUAGAUGAUUAGAAUUUACUAUCAACUAUAAGUCAGUCUUCCCUGAAUUCCUGCUAUACUUGUAGACUGGAUAUUGUACUAUAUAAUAGUUUUCUUUUUCUUUGAAAAAAUUUAUUUGCUUCAAAGGCAUAGUUACGGAGGUAGAGGGAAGAGAGAAAUCUUCCAUCUGUUGGUUCAUUCUACAAAUGGCUGCCAAUAGCAGGGGCUGGAACUGGCCUAAGUCAGGAGCCUGGAAUUCCAUCAGGGUCUCCUAUGUGGGUGGGAGGGGCCCAAGAACCCUGGACCAUGUUCUGCUGCUUCCCCAGACACAUUAUCAAGGAGCUGGAUCAGAAGUGGAGUAGCAAGGACUCGAACCAGAGCUCACAUGAGAUACAAGCAGGCAGUGGUUUGCCCAGCUGUGCCAUAAAUACAGCCCCCACUUUAUGUACGUGGCAGAGAGAUAUAUAGACACAGAAGGAGAUCUUAUCUGCUAAUUCACUCCCCAGAAGCUUGUCAUGACCAGGGCUGGACAGGAAGCUAGAGCUGGAAACCAGGAACUAAAUCCAGGUCUCCAAUGUGGGUGGCAGGAAUCUAACUGCACAAGGAAAAACAAGGAUAUACUGUCUCCCAGGAUCUGCAAUUAGCAGGAAACUGGAAUCAAGAGCCAGAGCUCUUGGGGAUUGAACCCUGAUACUUUGAAGGGGAUUUAGCGUGUCCUGACUGGCAUGUUAACUUCUAUGGCAAGUCUGCCCCUGGAUACUGUACUUUUCCUUGGCGAUUUAAGGCCAUCAUGGUAGUAGACACCAUUUCUCAGUGCUCCAGUGGUUCAUUAACCGUAGUUAAUGUCGUCAAGUGCCAGCUCUGCCUGGGAUCUUGGUCAAGCCUAUUAACUUUUAUAAUUUUUAGUUUUUCUCUAUCAAAUAGGAAGCACAGACUUCCAUGGGAUUCUGUCAGGAGUGAACAAAGUAAUACACAGACGGAGCUUUGAGAACUCUACAAACAUGGGAUAUUAGGUGAGGAAGCUCGUCUGUCACAUACAGAGGAUAGCUAGUUAACAGAAUAUAUUACAAAUACAUUACACUUAUCUGUAAGCCAAGUCCAUAGGUCAUUCAGAGAUGUAGUAGUUUUGUAACAUGUAAGUGGUGGCUAAUAAGUUUGCACACUUGAUAAAUGCUGUGAUGAAAGCACAAUACCUGAACACAAGAGUCCAGCAAAUAUUUAUGGAAUUGAAUAGAACUGAGUCUUAAAGAAGCAGUGAAACUAAGUUAGAUCAGUAGUGCAGUGGGUGGAUGCUCUAAGCAGAGGGUAUGGAACUGAAAGUGCUUUGGUCACUGGGGAAAUUUUGGGGAGUUUGGCAGGGCCAUGUCACAAUUGUAGGAAGUGGGAAUUAAUGAGAAAUCAGGAUGAAGUAGUGAACAUGGACCAAGGCAUGACAAGCACCGUGUGCUGUGCUGGAAUAAACAUUCAUUCUGAAGGUCACGGUAAACAUUGGAAAGGUUUUAAACAGGAGAGAAAUACGCUCAUACUGGUCCUUUACAGAGACUCCUCUGGUGGCAGACAUGAUGGAUGGGGAGACAAGGAAGAGCAUAUCCUAGUAACUCAGACGUUCUAUGGGGUUUGCCCAUAAAAACUAUGGGAGCAAGACAGUCCAGAGCAAGGUGUGUAUUUGGUGAUGCUGAGCCUGCGUGUGGUGUUCUUUGCAUAUGAAAAUUCUGUUUCACCAUUUCUAAGGCAUUUCUUUGCCUGGAGGAGGCACCAUGUUCGUCUGAUCUGCAUACUCUAGUUAAUCUGACAUAUGGGAUUAUAAACAGACAACCUGUGGGAUGCAGGAGACUUCACUGGCAUCUUAACCACUAGACUAAAUCCCUGCCCCAGGUAGGUGUAUUUUUUGAAUAACCUGCAUGGGUGCUCACCUCUACUUGAAAAAACUCCACAGACAUCUCCGUGCCAACAGAUGCAGGACGCACCCCUUUCCAAGUCGUCGUGCUACACAAGUGUGAGCAAAUUUUGGGAUCUUUGUGCACAAGGAAGAAGAUGUGACCCCUCCCCCCAAUUGGAUGCAUGUGUUGAAACUCAGACAAGACUUCAUGGACAACAAUGAUUUUGGAGAAAAAAAUUCUCAUUCAUCAGCCUAAAGAGGAACCCUGUUUUAUCGCAGAUCACCAUCAUGGGAUUUAAAAUUCAGGGUGGCCUUGCUCGUGGCUUCUGAGUAUGUUUCAUGGUGUAUUUGAGGGACAUCCUCCCCAGACUGCGACCCAGACACUGCCCACUGGUUCGUCACUCUGGACCGCUGUCAACCGCUGUCUCUACAUUUCUUUUACGCAAUACAGGGAUGGCAGUGCCAUAGAUGGCAAACAUCCAACUUCCUGCCAAUCAUCCAUCCUCCUGCUAACCAACCACGAGCCUCCGUUGACCACUGCUGAGAAGUCUCGAACAGGAGUCCUGGAGAUUUUCAGUGGUGACUCUGAGGUGCUGUAACAUCCCUCAGAUACCUUCGUUAGUGUAAAAUUACAUUAAUUUUGAAAUAGUUUGAAAAUGAAUUAUAUUAGGGGCUGGCGCUGUGGCGCAGCAGGUUAACACCCUGGCCUGAAGUGCCGGCAUCCCAUGUGGGUGCUGGUUCUAGUCCGGGCUGCUUCUCUUCCAAUCCUGCUCUCUGCUAUGGCCUGGGAAAGCAGUGGAAGAUGGCCCAAGUUGUUGGGCCCCUGCACCUGCCUGGGAGACCCGGAAGAAGCUCCUGGCUUCGGAUCGGUGCAGCUCCAGCCGUUGCUGCCAUCUUGGGAGUGAACCAUCGUACGGAAGACCUCACUCUCUCUGCCUCUCCUCCUCUGUGUAGCUCUGACUUUCAAAUAAAUAAAUAAAUCUUAAAAAAAUAAAAUGAAUUAUAUUUUUAUUUUAUGGCAAAACUGUUAAGCAUAAUUACUAUUAAUGGACCAUAUGCAGCUGAACUGGGAAACAAAAUUUUAAAAAAUAUCCAAUAUUUGUGUUGGGAUCCCAGAAACAGGACAGGGAAAGGAGGAAGCCUGAUCCUGCAAGGGGCUCCAGUGUCUAAACUUGACCUCAGUUGUCCCACCCUAAGGCAAAGGAGCUGGCCCCCACGCCACACCUGUAGUCAUUGGUUAACAGCCCCUGGGGUGAAGAUUAAGUAUGUUAACUCCUUGGUAUGGUUGGCCCUUUGCUUGUGGAGUGAAAAGGAUCCUGGGACCUGGGGCAGCCCUUUGAAGUGGAGCUGCAGCUGCUACUUACUGAAAGCUAUACAAAGAGACGAGGCAACACAUGGAAAAGAGGAAUUCCAUGGGACCUGGAGGGAACAUUAUGAUUUGUGACAGAUUAAGGAAUAGGUAUCCUCUUCUGCCACAGAGCUCCCAAACCCUUGGGACUUCUGGGUGAUAGAGGUAAGAGGAGCAGGGAUCUUUUGUUAUUCAUGUGAGUCCCCUUCUGACCAUCCAUGAGUUUAUGCCACCCUGGUGGCUCUUAGAGGACAGGGUCUGAUGCCAGGGUCCCAGCCAGAUGUCAUAGGGAUGGGACUCUCACUCUCAGCCUCACACCUGCCCUAUGGGAAUAGGAGAGAGGCUGAGGAUUAAUUUACUUACCAAUGGCCGGUGGUUGAAUCAGUCAUACCUAUGUACUAGAACUCUCUACAGUGGAUUCCAGGAGCUUCCUGGUUGGUGCAUGUACUCAUAGAUGAAAGGGUAGCAGACUCUAAGCUCCAAGGCAAUGGAAGUUCGGGUACUCAGGAGCCUCCUGCAAUUGUGUUAUGUAUCUCUUCAUCUGGUGUUCAUUGGCAUUUUUUAUAUCCUUUACUAUAAACUGGUGCAUGUAUUUCCCUGUGUUUUAUAAAUCACCAUAGCAAAUUAUUGCAUAUGAGAAGGGAACAGUGAGCAAUUCCAUUUUGUAGCCAAUUUGGACUGAAGUGUGGGUCACCUGGUGACCUACCACCAGCAAUUAGCAUCCGAGUUGGCAGCAACCUUAUGGGACUGAGCUCUUGUGGGGGCUGCACAACUCUAGUUCGUGUCAGAUUUUUGCAUUAAGUAGAACACUCAGUAUCUGAAAAGAAUUGGAGAAUUUCUUGCUGUGGAAAAAAAAUCCACACACAUACUGCAUCAGAAGUGUUUUGAGUAGAGAAACAACUAUCCCUUUAAACACUAACAUUGUUUGCUAUAGUACAAUCAUCACUUCCCAUUAACUCAUUAAUUUCUUUGUCCAGCAGGCAUUUAUUCAGUACCCACUCUACUUUGGGCACUGUGUGAGGGCAGACUGUGAGUGACAGACUGACAUGUUCCACACUCUCAUGAGGCUCAUUGUCAAAUGGAGAAAGAGAAUUUUAGUGGAAGGAAAGGGAAGCAGGACAAGGGAAGCUGGCCAGGAAGCGGUGUCCAGACCUGGAAGCAGGUGGGAGUGUGGGGUUAGACCUGGAAGGGGCACUUCUGAGCCUGUCUACCCAGACUUGCUCAGAGUUACCCAGAAACGUGAGUUGUAGCUCGUGAUGAACCACACAGUGUAGAGAUCAGGAGCUUGGCUACAUUGUACAUACGUAGAAGAGGAGACAGGUUCCUUACUGGACAUUGGCUCAGUUCAGAUUGCAAGGCUGCCAGGAACAAGCUGUGCUUUUAGUAUCCCACCCCUCCCAGUUUACUGAAAUGGGAGUAAGACUAGUGCAAGAGACUUCACAGGCAUCUUAUGAAACUAUAAAGUUAGCAUGUGGGAAAAACUAGAAGAGUUUCUGGUAGUUGGUGAUCCCCAUGAAGUCCAGUUGUAUAACUCUAUUCCUUCCAGGAACUCUGGCCACAGUGACUUUGGGAUUGAGUCUCUUCCCCUCUCACUCAGGGUAGUCCUGCUGGCUUUUCUGCAUACCUGAGCCACCGCAGAAUGUUUGCGUUUGUUCUCUCUACUCCAGCGCUGCUGUUCACGUAUCUCAUUCUCUCAGAUCACCUCCUUAGAGAUACCUUCCUGCUUACCUACCGUAAAUAGUGGUCUCUUUCUUUUAGAGAUUGGUGUCAGAACAUAUGUAAGAAAAUGAUAUGAUGUCUGGGACGUUUUUCAAAAUAGACGCUGGUGGGAGCGUGGGUAGGGGUGCGAAGACAGGUCCUGGGUUGACCUUUGUAGAAGCUGAAUCUUCAUGAGUGAUCAGACUGUUUUCCCAGUUUUGUAUGUUGUCAUGCUUUUCCAUAAUGAGACAUUUUUCAAACAUUUCCUUUUACUCUGUUGUUCACAGUACUUACUAUAGUCUGAUCUUAUAUCAUUCAGCUCUUUGUUUAUUCUCUUUCUCUCUGUAAUAUAAAUUUUGGUUCCCUGCUAUAUUUUUGGUUCCUUUAACAGUGCUAGAUACCCAGUAGAUACUUCAUAAAUGUGUACAGAAUGAAUAUAUGAAAGAGUCGAAAAUAUCUAGGCAUAACUGAGAACUUGGUGGGAGUUUGAUCCUUCAGCAUUUAUAGAUAAAAGUCAUAAAGGCAAAUUUGUCUAAAUUUCUCUUUGUAAAAAUGCACACUUGACUAUCUCUCACACCAAAUUGGGCUCAUUGGCCAGGACCUCAAACUUGGGAAGACUCUGUCCUCACAGCUUCUGUGUAGUCUCUAAGAGGUCAAUUCAUUGUGUGAAUUAGGCCAGCAAGUACAGUCUUUGGGCAGUGCAGGUAGAUUCCUGCAAGGUCAAAACGGGCACCAAAUGGUCUUUGUGACCAUUUGGUUGGGAAUAUGUACGAAAUUCCAGAAUGGCAGCAUUUAAAGAUGAUGUCCUAGCUCUUCUGCGGACUUCUGGGACCAAAAGAUUUUGGACAUUUCUAGAAAUUGCUUGAAUGGUUCUGGUGGGGAAGUUAUAGGACUUUUGCAGAUAAUGACAUUUUGGUCAACAAGGGAAGGUACACGUAACAAUCAUCUCCUAAGGUUAUGAUGGAGCUGAAAAGGUCCUGUCACCUAGUGACAUUGUAAUCCUCGUGCCAUCAUCGUUCUUGUGAUGUGGUGCAACAGAGAACCCAUAUUUUGGUGAUGCUGGUGGAAACAAACCUGCAUUGCCAGCCAUAUAAAAGUAGAGCACGUACAAUUAUGUACGGUUCACAAGGCUUGAUGAUAAUACAAACUAUGUUGUUGGUUUAUGUUUUAACUAUAUGAGGGACUUCAAAAAGUUCAUGGAAAAAUAGCAUUAAAAGGAUCAUAUGCAUUUUCAUAACAUUUUUGAAGGCCUUUCAUACUGUAUGUCUUGUUAGAGUAUUUUCUUUAUUUGAAGAAAAAUGUACUGUAAAACAAUAUGCAGUCAUUCUCUUGUAUGUGAUUUAGUCUCAUGUUUUGUUCAUCAGUGCCCCAGGAGAAUAGAUUAUACCAUAUGUAUGCCUACACACACUCACACACCCCAUAGAGGCUAGUGGUGCAGUAGGCUGUGCCAUCUAGGUUUCUGCCUGGACAUUCUAUAUUUGCACAAUGAAGGAACCAUCUAACAAGCAUUUCUUAGAAUGUAUCCCCUCAUUAAGUGGUUCACAGCUGUAUUUGGGAGCAGAGGGAUAAGGUGAUAGUGAACAGGCCUUUUAAUUGUUUUUUAUUGGAGUGUGAUGGUGGACUUGGGGAUUGGGCUAUGGAGCCUAUAUCCUCCUCAUAGAUUCGGCUAAAGCCCCUCAAACAGUGGGUGGUUGAAGCUGAAGGGGCUGCUUUGCCCAGGUAAGGAAAGACUCUCUGAGUCACUGGGCACAGUGAUGCUGCUUCCAGGCCAGGUGUUAGAAUGGGGUAUCAGUUGAGGAGGGGGCAUUCUCUCCAUUUGGGUAGCCUAAUUCUGGGGGUGUCAGCACACUAGGACAUUUAGGGGUUUGUGGUUCCUAAAGAUCAAGGUCAUGGAUACAGGGUCAAAUGAGGCUUCACUCGGUUGGCUUCACAAUGCUUGGACAUCAUUGCAGGUGAACAGAGGAGACAUUCCAUGGGCACAAGUGCACCCUCUUGGUAGUGUCCCAGAAGUACGCUGUAGAGAGGCAUUGGUCCUGCAGGGGCCUGAGCCCAAGUUAGUGCAGGGUAAUCAAUGAGAUCUGCACUUAGGAACUUGGGAACACUUGAGGCAGAUGAAGGAAAUAAACAAGUAUGUCCAACACACAAUGAUUUUGUGGUGAAUUAUUAGAAAGCUCUCCAAAUGGAUGUUUUCAUUUUAAUUUUUAAACACUGAUAAAAUAGUCAAGUCCAGAGUUGAGGGAAAAAAACUAGCUUUUUAUUUCACCCAAUACAUUUCUUUGAUUUUGAAGUAAAGAGGUCAGCAUUAUGGAAAUACACCAAGUCUAAAUCAGAUUUUAUCCAAGUUAUAUGUAGACAAGUACUCUGUUACUACAAGCCUACACAUCUCAUUUCCUUUUCUGUCUAGUCCUCCAUUUAAUAACCUGAAAAAUCUAUCUUUUUAUUGAGUUUCAUGCUAUUUUCUUACUUACAUACAAUAGUGCUACUCUUAGCAAUUGCCUAUUGUCAUGGCACAUUAGUUCAGUGAAUUUGUUGAUAUUUCAAAAUUACUCUUUCAUCCAGUUUAAACAAGUGAUUGGGAGCACUCCUGUGAGGAAAGCAAAAAGGCAACACAUUUUAUUUUGAAGUAAAUUGUGUUUAUGGUAAGGUAGUUGGUAUUAUUCUGGUUUCUAGCUAUAGACAAGCACAGUACUCCUUACCUGCCCAUGUCUAAUUCACUUCCGUUAGUUCCCAAUACCUGUUGAGUCCCUUCAAAGGAAAACAGGGGCUGUUUGGCAGUGUGGGGGGGAUGGGGCUUGGGGACAGAAGGAAAACAAGGAAGGAUGAGGACUUAAAGGAAGCUGAGGCACAGUUUCUGCCUUUGUGGAGCUUUGGGACAAUGUUGUUCAUCAGCCACGCGUGUUUCCUGAUAACCAUGGCUCGUGUGCCAGGAAUCGAGAGGGGAACAGAGCAAGAACCUCUUGUCUAGAGACACCUCCAGUCUAGUCACCCUCUGGGAGAGCUGGAAGAAAAUGGUGCAGGGAGCCCAGGCAGGAGACCACCAGCAGCCAUACAGAGCAUGGGAGAUUUCCUGGGGAGGACAGCUUUGGAACCGAGUGUUAAAGGUUGGCUAGGAGUUGAUUUAGGGGGAAGUGACAUAGGGAGAAGAAAAGGCUUCCAACCACUGGGAACAGCACGGUCAAGGAUGUAGUCUAAGAAACAGGGUUUUGUGUGUGUAGAGCCUCUAUAUUGGCCCUUGUGAUUACGUUUGGGAACGUGAAUGAAGCAGGAAAGCAGCAGAUGAAGAGGUAAGGCAUGCGUUUCUGGAGGAAGGACUUGGUAUAGCAGCUUAUGGGAGAUGAGAUCAGAAUCUGAGAGUGAUCACUUGGGUGAUGGAGUUGGUCUGGGUGGUGUGGGUAAGGCUUUAGGCAGAUGAGAACAGGAGGUGGCAGUGGGAUGACAGAGAGAGGGGGUCGCCCAUAACUAGGAGGAGUGUGCAGCUGUGGGUAACUUUGUGCACAGAGAAGCACCAUCUUGUUCACCAUUCAUUCAUUGAUUCAGAAAACACUGAGCAUCAAGUGUAUGUCAGCUAUGGUGGUGUGGUCUCUGCCAAAGCGCUUCCAGGGUGUGGGGGAUAUGUAGACAGAUAACUAAAAGCCAGUGGGUAUGAGGCAGGGCAGGGGUGUGUUGGGGACUGACUGGCUCAGUGUGGGAAAGUGGAGGGGUGUCAGGGAAGCUUCCUCAGGAUCCCACAGAAGCCCAACCCUUAGUAAACUGCAGAUCAGCUAUGCAAAUUGGCAAAGACAAGAAGCUAGAGGGUAAGAGCAUAGGAUUCUGGGGACGACAGGAAGCCUGUUGUAUUCUGACCGUUCAGAGCACAUUUAGGGCAGACGAUGGAGCUUGGAAACUUGUGAGCUGGGUUUUGGAGGCAGAGGAAGAAAGUGGGAAACAAAUUAGGAUGCACAUGUGUGACUGGGGUGCAACUGCUCACAUGGUACAGAGAGCCUCCUGGGCCAGUGCCCUCGGGCUGCUGCUGUGAAAACACCUGAGAGGAUGUCGGGGUCCUUUUGCAGUGUUGUGGAGGAGACCUUAACAGCUCUGCAGCCUGGGAGACAGCACCAGUCAUCAAAUCAUAAAACGCUUCCACAUAUUUUAUACAAAGGGAAAUCUAAUCUGACUGGCUAAAACUUAACACUUAAGCUUUGAAUAAUAAAAACAAAGCCAUCGACUUUUAAAAUACAGGAUGUCUUCUGUUUCAUAAAAGUAUAGAUUAUCAUAUCCAUGAAUGUGUUAAGAUUGAGCUGUGACUUUAUAAACUAUUUUUUAACUUAGAAGGGCUAUACUAACUUUACAAGAGCUUUGGACUGUGAGGAUCUUGCCAGAAUAGAUGGAAGUCUUAUUUUCUUCGGGGAUAUUUUGCUCCUGAGUAUAAAUCUUUUUCUAUAGUUUCUAUUUUAUUGUUCAAACCCCCAAAAAUUUCUGUGAAUUCAACCAAUUCAUCACUUUAAAAAGCAAAGCAUAUGCAUCUUCUUCCUUCCAUCCCAAUAGUCACAUUGAUUAUUCAAAUGUGCUUAUAACACAUGUUAUGUACACUAUCUCAGCUUUAUCAACCUACAGGCAAAUAAAGAACCCUGUUUCAGCUGUUGCUGAAUUUUAUUAUGCAUAGUGGCUUGCCUCAUAAAGCUUAUUCACUGAACAUCUGUUAUUGAAGAAAGCUAGUCAGAUGGCAUGCUGUCUUUCCACAAAACAACACUACAUUUCAGUCAGAUGUUCUAUUUUUCUCCCAAGGAUCAGCAAAAACCAACCCAUUGGUUGUUGACCGGCAUUGACCCACACUGACAUAGAACAUCUAUUUAACAUAGUAUCUACUUUCUUGAACAUAUGAUAAGAAUCAGCUAUACAAUGAACACUCCAGGUAGAAGAAAAUAACAAUUUGAGUCAUGUCACACUUCUGGUAUGUGGAGGUCUGUAUACAGCCCUGGGUGAAAACCUGUGGUUGCUACGAGUACAGGGGGUACUUUGGGCAAAUGGUUGGCAGAGUGACUCUGUACACCACAGGAACAGCUGGAGCAGCAUCCAUGUUAGAUGUGCUGCAGUGCGAGUGCCCUAAACAGCAUUGUGCUAUUAAGAAAAACAAACAGGUGAAAUUAUUAGAGAAAAUACGACUCUGUAGAAGUGGGAAGAUAAGUACAUAAAAGAGAAAGCAAAAACAAAAACAGCAAAAAAACAUGAUCCGUACGCUCAGAGGUAAAUAAAAUCCUUCUGCGUUCACAAAAUAUAUUGGUUAGAGGUUGUUCUGAAAACAUUAAGCUAACAGGAAGAACCACUACCUGUAGGAGCCGUAAGCCAAGAAAAUAUAAAAAGUUGUUGUAUAGAUUGUUUGGGAAGUUCCCAUUAAUAAAAGCGAACAUAGGUUAAAAAACAGAAAGCUUAAUCUCACCUGGAGCAAAAGCAAGGCUGUGUCAGAAUGCUCCACAUUUAGGGAGAAGAGAGCAGCGAGUCACGGACUGAAAAAAACCAACCUCUCCAAUUAGCAGAGAGAAAAAUGAUUAUAAUUUUUUUGGCCAAUAUUGGUAACAUUGAGCAGUGAAUGGGUGUGCAUGUAUAGGCAGGAGUGAGGUAGCUAGUGAUGCAGGAGGGAAUGUGGCAUCACUGGAUGUGGGGCACCGGGGCUUUCUUCCUGACUCAGCAGCCCCCUGGCCUGGCCAUCUCGCCUUCCUGAGCCUGUAAGUCCUUGCAUGCAAAAUGAGCAGGUUGGGCCAGGCAGAUGCAGCAGUUAGGACAUCACUUGGGUUGCCCACGGCCUAUGCUGGGGUUUGUGGGUUCAAGACCCAACUCCACUUCUAAUACAGCUUUCUGCUUGGAUUGAGUUCCAGGCUCCCAGCUUCAGCUUGGCCCACACCUGGCUAUUGCAGGUGUCUGGGGAGUGCGUGAACCAGUGGAAGAUGUUGAUAUCCUUUCCUCUUUUCCCUCCCCCCUCCACCCCGUCACCAUCCUGCUCCCUUUCUAAAAUAAGUCAAUAAUUUAACAGUCGAGAAGUUUGAACUAGAUCAGCGACCCUCAAUGGGCAGAGAAGCUGCAGCAAUUUUAGGGUCUCUGAUGAAAAUCGCUGAGAUGCAAAAAGGUCCACAAAUCAAUUGCCCCUUGUGAGCUCCAAGGACAGGAGAAGAAAAUACUUCCUUCCUCCUCCUAAGCCCUGCAGGGUUGGGUUGAAGUCAGUUCUGAGAAUGCUCAGCUCCUCUGGAGCAGACCUGGGAGAAAGAGCUCUCCACCACGGUGGCUCCUAGGGUGUGCUCCUGGGACCGGCACCAUCAGCAUAACCAGGGAACUGUCAAAAAUAUGAAUGCCCUGUUUCCACCCUCAAAUCUGCACACUCAGAAAUGCUGGUCAGCCGGCACCGCGGCUCACUAGGCUAAUCCUCCGCCUUGCGGCGCCGGCAAACCAGGUUCUAGUCCCGGUCGGGGCGCUGGGUUCUGUCCCAGUUGCCCCUCUUCCAGGCCAGCUCUCUGCUGUGGCCAGGGAGUGCAGUGGAGGAUGGCCCAGGUGCUUGGGCCCUGCACCCCAUGGGAGACCAGGAGAAGCACCUGGCUCCUGCCUUCGGAUCAGCGUGGUGCACCGGCCACGGCGGCCAUUGGAGGGUGAACCAAUGGCAAAGGAAGACCUUUCUCUCUGUCUCUCUCUCUCACUGUCCAAAAAAAACAAAACAAAACAAAAAAAAAACCAACAAAAAUAACGCUGGGCAUGGGGCUGCAAUCGGGUGCUAACAGUUCUUCAGGUGUUGCUGAUUUAUGCUAACGUCUGAGAACCUCUGAACUGGGAAGUCUCUAAGGUUUCUUCAAAGGAUAGAAGUCUAUGAUGAUGCUUAAAUGCAAUACAAUUUGGCACAGGGCUGUGAUUUUUUUUUGAGUUCUCCUAUAAGAAUUACAAAAUAAAUAUAGCAACCAAAUAUAGUUUUCUAAAUCUGUUUUAGCAAUUGGGAACAUAUGGCUGGAAAUAAGCACUUAGUGAGUCAGGACUUAGAGGAAAUUUCUAACACAAUUGUGGUGUGUGCUGACUUCGGAGUUGGUCAGCAGCAGUAGGUAAGUGAAUACCUUUAGGCUUCACUGGGGCUUGAGCAGAGCCAGUAGAAUGUUCUACCAUGGGGAACAACACCAGCAUUUUAUUUUUUAUUUUUACUUAUUUAUUUAUUUGACAGAAUUACAGAGAGAGAAACACUGAGAGAAAGGUCCUCCCUCUGUUGGUUCUCUCCCCAGAUGGCCGCUACGGCCAGCACUGUGCCCAUCCGAAGCCAGGAGCCAGGUGCUUCCUCCUGGUCUCCCAUGCGGGUGCAGGACCCAAGGACCUGGGCCAUCCUCCACUGCCCUCCCGGGACACAGCAGAGAACUGGACUGGAAGAGGAGCAACGGGGACCAGAACCAGCACCCAUUUUAAAUCUACAGGAGACUUAAUAAAAAGUCAAUUACUUGAUGUUGAAAGAGAAAUAAUUAAGUUAGCCAUGCAAAGGCUUUCAAAAACUAUAGUGAAGACUGAGAACUGGAAUAUCUUUUGCUGUAUACUGAAAAAUACCACCACAGAAGGCAGUGGAAAAUGUAGUUAUUAUUACAAAAUUUAGGCAGAGAUAUAGCUACUGGGCAUUAGUAUUAAGAUAACUAAGUGUGAAACUUCAGAAUAAUUUGGGUUUUGCAGAGGACAUUCCUGAACCUGUACAAUAGCUUUACUCAUAUUUUCUUUGAUUGUUCAGAUUAGCAUAUCCACUGCUUUGUUCUUGUUUUCUGUAUCACUUUUAGAAAAGGAGCACCUUUUGUUCUUUAUGUUUCUGAAUUGCACUAUAGGGAGGAAAAAUAAAGCAAUUGACUUAGAGGUGAUCACAGAAUUACUUUAUAGGAAGCAUUAUUAAAAUAGAGAAAUAGAAAAAGAAAAAAAAAAUUGGUUUCCAGAAUUUGGACAAGUUGAUCAAGAUAGUUACAUGACUUUUAAGGGGAAAAAAAAAGCCAUCAAGGAACAAGGAAAAAAGUGAUUGUCAAGAAUUUCUCAAACUAGAAUGGAAGUUCAUGGUGUCUUUAGAACACUGUAUAUUUAGCUUGUACCAGUGGUACUUUGGUAGAACUUUGGCAAUUGCAGCAAUUUCCAAAGUAUCUUCUGUGGAACCCUGUACCAACCAUGUGCCUUAGAAUAGAGGGUUUGGGAAACACUGCCUGCAGCUUCUACCUCUUGAUGAUUCAUAAUGCCUUUCAGCAUGUUAAAGGAAGUUGUCUACAGAUGGAUAAACCUGCACAGUUUGUUUAACUCUACACCUUCCAGCACAUUUUAUCAUGGGACCCCAAUUUUCAUAUAGUACCACAUGUAAAAUCCCUUAGAACUGUGUCCUGUGUUUAGGACUCAGGGACAAGCUAGAUGACACAUUACUUUGUUAUACACAGUUUGAACCUAUGAGCUAAUGGAAUAAGCAUGUAAUCUACCUUGGCUAUUCUCAUCAACUAUAUCUAAAGGAAGGACUAUAUCUUCCAAACCCAGAUGCUCCAUAAACUAUCUGGGAAUCAUUCUCUUUGGUGCUUUAGUUAAUGUUCAUGCAAAUUGGUUACGAUGCAAUUUAUUGAUCUAAAAAGUAUCAUGGAAACGCAUGAGCUUUGAGAAUUCACAAACAGAUCUUUGUUACCAUUAAGUGACCAUGAUGGAAGUAUUUCUGCAUUACUGUAAAUAAAAUGUUACCACUAAGUGAGCAUGAUAAUGUCUGAUGAAUCUUCAUUCUCACUACCUGAUGUAACAUCUUUUACUGGGGCCGGUGCUGUGGCGCAGCAGGUUAAUGCCCUGGCCUGAAGCGCGGGUAUCCCAAAUGGACACUGGUUCUAGUCCCGGCUGCUCCACUUCUGAUCCAGCUCUCUGCUGCGGCCUGGGAAAGCAGUAGAGGAUGGCCCAAGUCCUUGCGGCCCCUGCACCUGCGUGGGAGACCCAGAAGAAGCUCCUGGCUUCAGAUUGGCGCAGCUCCAGCUGUUGCAGCCAAUUGGGGAGUGAACCAUCGGAUGGAAGAAUUCUCUCUCUCCCUCUCACUCUCUCUCUGCCUCCCUCUCUCUGCCUCUCCUCUCUGUAACUCUGACUUUCAAAUACAUAAAUCUUUAAAAAAAACUUUUACAUCCCAGAAAUGGAAUGGAAUGCCGUGGAAAGCAUGCACAGUUGUUAGAGAAGAAAUUACUAUGAGGGGGAAAACUGAGAUGGUCUUUUACUGGUUUGUUGGGAUAGGGUCAUUUGUGUCAUGAAUAUCCUUGUGUACCUAUUUUAAAGGCUACAGAUUUAAAUUCUAUCUCUUGGGUGACUUAAUUUUGGAUUGAGAGUAAUACUUUUAAUAUGUAUCCUGGUAGAUAACUGCUACACAUGAGGGGAAACAUGACCAUGAAGAUUUUCAUUUUGUUUUAAAAACCUCAAUUUUAAAAGUGCUGCUUGUUAACAAAUAAAACCCAGAAACAAUUCUUUUUCAUUUACAAAAAAAAAAAAUCAUGGAAAAUGGAGUGAAAAAAUAAGUUUUUUUUGGUGUGAAAAAAACUGAGAUCCAUAUGUAUGGAUGGGUUUCAGAAAGUUUAUGGAAAAUGCAUGUUAUGGAGAAACUAUGCAUGGAUUUCAAUUGUUUUUUUGAUACCAAACUCAAUUUACACUUGAAUUCUAUUUCCAUGAACUUUUUGAAGUCCCUUCAAAUACAGGGUAUAUAAUUAUGAAAAACACCUUUUUGUAUUAAGCAGCAAAUUAGUCCUCUAGUUCUCUUAGUUUCUGUGACUAUAGUUUUUCUUUUAACUUUAAAAAUAAAGGGGAUAAAUUUGCUCAUGUAGAUCAGCUGCUUUGCUUCAUAACUGCAAGAAAGGCAAGUUACUCAACGAUGUUAUUUUGGUUAGAUUCAAAGUUCUGGAAGAAAUGUUUCUUUCAUACAAAAUAUAGCCAUUGCAAAUUAUCUGAAGUCUUAAAUUACA
Molecule: non-coding RNA, 15319 nt
Organism: Oryctolagus cuniculus (rabbit)
Lineage: Eukaryota; Metazoa; Chordata; Mammalia; Lagomorpha; Leporidae
Source: RefSeq, a predicted model, not a curated record